RNAcentral lists this long non-coding RNA (387 nucleotides) under Linum usitatissimum (flax). Its description in RNAcentral is "long non-coding RNA (LUSI_LNC001386)". Lineage: Eukaryota; Viridiplantae; Streptophyta; Magnoliopsida; Malpighiales; Linaceae. The record is from RNAcentral.
GAUCCUUGACAACUUCUGCCAUGCUUGUUGGUCGUCGAUUAACAUAGACAGUAAAACCUGGCUUUCCCGCCUCGAGUGCUUUACUACCACCUACUACCGUAGUUUUAUUAUGCGCAUUGACUUGUCUGAUAUUCUGAGAUUGAGACAGAUCGAUAUUUGCACUACAUUGUGGUUGAGAUCCUUUUAUAUCAUCUUUGCAUUCACCUUCAAAACAGAUUUCCUCAUCAUCGUCAUCAUCGUCUUCAUCCUCAUCUUCAUCAACAUCUUCAACAAGCACUUCUUCUUUCUGGUACUGAUUUUUUACUGGAGGGAAUUGUUGUUCUCUCCUUGGAGCUUGUUGUUCUCUCCUUGGAGCUUGUUGUUCUCUCCGCGGAGCUUGUUGUUCUC